This 331-nucleotide ribosomal RNA is filed under the name uncultured bacterium. RNAcentral describes it as "bacterial SSU rRNA". It matches the Rfam family "Bacterial small subunit ribosomal RNA", at positions 32 to 339 of the family's 1533-position model. The record is from RNAcentral.
AAUCAACGCUGGCGGCGUGCCUCAGACAUGCAAGUCGAACGCGAAAUUUCCCUUCGGGGAGAAAGUAGAGUGGCGCACGGGUGAGUAACACGUAGGUAAUCUGCCUUUGGGUGGGGAAGUAACUACAGGGAAACUUGAGCUAAUACCGCAUAAUGCAGCGGCUCGACAUCGAGACAGUUGUUAAAGCGGGGGAGUCGCAAGACCUCGCGCCUAAAGAGGAGCCUGCGGCAGAUUAGGUAGUUGGUGAGGUAAUGGCUCACCAAGCCUGCGAUCUGUAGCCGGCCUGAGAGGGCGGUCGGCCACACUGACACUGACAUACGGGUCAGACUCC